AUAUCCAACAAAUUUUACGAAUUAGAAAAAGAGAACUAGAAGAUUGUAAGGACUAAUGUAUGUUGCGAGUGAAGUCAUAGUUUGAUAUGAUUGUUCAACUGAAAGUAGAGCUUGAUGAGUUGUUAAAGAUACAAGGCAAGAGCAACAAGAGCAGCUUGAGUUCGAAAAGCAAUCUGAAGAUGAAGAACAAGAACAAUUAGAAGCUAAAAUUGAAGAAUUUGAGCUUGAAGAACCCAAAACUUUGGUUAUCAAGUCUUCACAUGUUGAAGAAUUAGUUCUAGAAACACUUGUUGAAGAACUUGUUCUAGAAAAAGAAGCUA
Molecule: unclassified non-coding RNA, 320 nt
Filed under: Hevea brasiliensis (rubber tree)
Lineage: Eukaryota; Viridiplantae; Streptophyta; Magnoliopsida; Malpighiales; Euphorbiaceae
Source: RNAcentral